RNAcentral lists this long non-coding RNA (1401 nucleotides) under Sus scrofa (pig). Its description in RNAcentral is "lncRNA (ENSSSCG00005016563.1)". The record is from RNAcentral. Lineage: Eukaryota; Metazoa; Chordata; Mammalia; Artiodactyla; Suidae.
AUACGCUCCAGAACUGGACACACUGACCCAGUCUCCCACCUCUCCCUCCACCUGCUCUUGGUCCCCCGCACCCGCCCCCAGGGGUCCUGCACCCACAGUGUGAGAGGCCUGGGGAGGAGGGCUUGGGUCCCCAUCUCUAGGUGCCUUCUCUCUCCUGUCCCAAGUGAGACCCUGGCAAAUGCCUGGGGGCCCAACUAAUCGUCUGUCUCCCCUUCCUUCUCCCCUGCCCUCAGCAAAAAGAGGAGACUAGAUUCCGAGUGCAGGUCAGUGAUGACGGCGGGUCAGGGAAGGGCUGGGACUGGAGAGGGUGUUUGCGGGUGGGAGAGUCGAGGCCAUCCGCCAGAGGCAGGAGGCCUGCCACCUCAGGGCCUGGGCCCUGGACACGACCCUCGUGCCAGCCUUUCCCAGCAGAGCCCAGAAAUCCCAUCGUUGGAGCCUCUAACCUUUGGGUUUGAAACAGUCCUCAUUCACAAUGCCCAGGAGGCUGGAAAGGUGACAAGGGGACAACGCAGGCACUCCACCAACUACUCCUAGGGACCUUGUGGACCCUCAGGGCCUCAGUGGCAACUGCCCAAUGGCAGUUGGCUGCGCCCCUUGGAAUCCCCUUCCCAGCUCUGAUGCCUCGGGCACCCAGGCUUUCCCAGUCCUUUCCACCACCCCCUCCAUCCCGGGACCCAGUUCACUAGAGCCCCCCCCCCAACUGUGUCCACAGCUGUGGGAGCUCCUCACCCCUGCGCAAGAAGAAGAAGAGUGUGAAGAAACACCGCCGAGACAGGUAGCCUUCCUCCCCUGGGACCUCCUCUCACUUCUGUGGGGCCCCCACGCCCAAGGCUCUGCAGAUCCUGUCUCCAGGCCACACCAGGCAGGCUCACAAGAACCCCUCUAUGGUCCUACAGGUCUGAUUCUGGGUCCCGGAGGAAGAGGCGGCACAGAUCUCGAAGCCCCAAGAGCAAAAGAAAGGAAAAGAACAAAGAAAGGAAGAGGCUACACGCAGAGUCCCCAGGCCGGAGGGCCCAUCGCCACAGCAGCGGCAGGUCCCACAGCCCCUCACUGUCCUCCCAUUACAGUGAUUCCAGAUCACCCAGCAGGUAGGUCCAGGGCUGCUGGGAGCACUCAGGUGUGGUUGAGCUCAGCUUUCAGCUGGAGCGGCGGGGACUUGCAGUUUAAACGCGCCCCCCUACCCCGCCCCAGGGCUGGGAAGCAGGGCUGGUGGACAGACAGCAACUGAUCCUUGGGUAGAAAUUUACCGGGUCUGCUCUGCUGCCCAUGUCCAAGGGCGCCCCAGACACUGGACUGGAAAGCGAGGCAGCCUGAGGGCUGGGGCCUUCCUCUCUCCACAGAAGGGAUUCCCAGCCCAGUAAGAGGAGGCGGGGGCGGGGCGAGGGGACACUGCCCUUCGUG